RNAcentral lists this ribosomal RNA (478 nucleotides) under uncultured bacterium. Its description in RNAcentral is "partial 16S ribosomal RNA". It matches the Rfam family "Bacterial small subunit ribosomal RNA", at positions 28 to 507 of the family's 1533-position model. The record is from RNAcentral.
GAUGAACGCUGGCGGCGUGCUUAACACAUGCAAGUCGAACGAGAAGUGAAGACGGAACCCUUCGGGCGGAAGGCUUUAUUUCGAGUGGCGGACGGGUGAGUAACGCGUGGGUAACCUGCCUCAUACAGGGGGAUAACAGUUGGAAACGACUGUUAAUACCGCAUAAGACCACAGCACCGCAUGGUGCGGGGGUAAAAACUCCGGUGGUAUGAGAUGGACCCGCGUUCGAUUAGCCAGUUGGCGGGGUAACGGCCCACCAAAGCGACGAUCGAUAGCCGAUCUGAGAGGAUGACCGGCCACAUUGGGACUGAGACACGGCCCAAACUCCUACGGGAGGCAGCAGUGGGGAAUAUUGCACAAUGGGGGAAACCCUGAUGCAGCGACGCCGCGUGAGUGAAGAAGUAUUUCGGUAUGUAAAGCUUUAUCAGCAGGGAAGAAAAUGACGGUACCUGAGGAAGAAGCCCCGGCUAACUACGUG